Molecule: long non-coding RNA, 3297 nt
Organism: Gasterosteus aculeatus aculeatus (three-spined stickleback)
Lineage: Eukaryota; Metazoa; Chordata; Actinopteri; Perciformes; Gasterosteidae
Source: Ensembl
UGUUUAGGUUUCCUAUGUCUUCCAGUCUGUGCUGGGCAAGUGAAGCCAACUCACUCCUCUCUCGCUCACUGUCCAGCAACCUGCUUCGGGUGGCCUCCAAUUCUACACACAAGCACACACACUUCCAUUAUAAACCAACCCAGUGUUCACUGUUGUCCUCUACCAAGAUAGAAUUAGUUGAUUUGGUCUGUAGCUGUUUGAUUGACGGAUGUUCUGCUCUAGGAGAACAAGGAGGAGGCUGAAUGGUGUGAGAACAGGUGGGUCACAUAGAUCACUAUCUCCACCUGUCUGGAUGAGGGCCUUCUCUGCCUCUCGGUCUGUCAGCUGGCUCUGUGUUUCCUCCAGGGCUUUCCGUAGCUCUGUGAGGUCGUCCUGGACUUCUUGCAGUUGUGACUGAGCAGUGCUGAGCUCCUCCUGCAAAGUCCACACUGUGGAGAGACACAGGAUCAAACCAGUCCUGAGGGAGAAUCUCCCAGAGAACCACACACAUACAGGCUGCACCUUCUGGGUUAUACAACAUCUCCUGGUUCUGAUGAGACUCUGCUCUCUCCCUCUGCUUCAACUGCUGGUUAAGAAACCGCACUCGCCUGGGACACACACACACACAAUAUUUAUGUAUAUACACAACUGUAACUACACUUCCUUGGUAUUUACAUCCCCUGAGACUUCCUCCAUGUUUCCAUGUCAAAGGGUUUGUUAGAGCACGCAGGUAAGCUACCUGCGGAGCAGAUUGUUCUGGCUGUGAAGGGACACUCGUUCUGGUUCGGUCCAUAUGUUUGAACUCCCAGCAUCCAUCAUCGGUGAAGACACGGUCUGCUCCAGAUGAGUGAGCAGCCUCUCUGCUACACUGCCUGCAUGCACGAGCACACACAAUACAACAAGAACCAGCUGAUAUAUUACCGUGUCCAUGUACAGUCAGACAGACAGGUUACCUUGUCCAGCGAUCAGAGCCUUCAGUUCUCCCAGCAAGUACUGAACCGUCUUCACUUUCUCAUCUGUCUCUCCUGUGCAGUCCCUCCCACUGGGUGUGUCCAACAGGACUCUGUCAACCUGUCCAAGCUCCAGCCGCAUGUCUGACUUCUUUGGACAGCUUUGGACACUGAUGUCUCUUACAGGAACAACCUCCCCCUCUACUCUAUCCCAAUCUACCUUGCAGUGUGUGUGGGAGAUGGAUGGAGGGAGGUCCGGGGGUGGAUGGAUUGAGGGCUGAGAUGGAUGGACGGACGUCCGGAAAAGAUGGAUCGAGGACUGCGAUCGUUGAUUGGAGGUCUGUUUCCCAGGUAGAUGGAAGAGGGGCUGUGGCUCAGAUAUAUGGUUGGAGGUCUGAGAUGGACAGAUGGAGGUCUGAGGUGGGUGGUUGGAGGUCUGUGAUGGACAGAUGGAGGUCUGGCAUGGAGGGAUGGAGGUCUGAGGUGGGUGGUUGGAGGUCUGUGAUGGACAGAUGGAGGUCGAAGGUGGAUGGGUGGAGGUCUGAGAUGGAGGGAUGGAGGCAUGAGAUCGAGGGCAAGAAGUCUGAGGUAAUUGGUUGGAGGUUUGAGGUGGAUGGGUGGAGGUCUGAGGUGGAUCAGUAGAUGGUUUUCUAACAGGACGUUGAGCUUUGAAGCCUGGUCCAGGCUGACGCCCCCUGUGAUCUGGAGGAUGAAGGGAACAGGUAUCAAGAGAAGGUGGAGGAGAGACUAUGUAUCUAUAUAGACUAUAUAGUACUAAUAAAACAAAACACUAACUAUUAGAGAUUAUAUUAAUGAUGUAUUCCUAUAGACCUCAUCAGUACUGACUGACUUCAUGAACCUCUUUAAUUAUUUCUAACUAUUAACAUGUUCAUAGAACCAAUAGAACGUGUCCAUUGGACAUAUAAAGAGAUGAAGUGCAGAGCUCCAAGUUAGUCCACAGGAUUCUAUCUACACACCGUCUUCAGCAGAGGUGUCGAAGUACAAGUACAAAUGUACAGUACAGUAACGAAGUACAAAUACUUCGUUACUGUACUUAAGUAGAAAUUUUGGGUAUCUAUACUUUACUGUAUUAUUUGUUUUUCAGACGACUUUUUACUUCUACUCCUUACAUUUUAAAAACAGCCAUGUUACUUCCGGCUUGUCGUAGUAGACACCGGGUGGGAAAAGUGGUCGGUGGUAUUUAGCGACAUGGACCCUCCUCCUCUUCCUCCUCCUCCUCCUCUUCCUCACGCAAUCUUCAUGACCGUGGGUUUGUCCUAAAUGUUUUAUUGAGAGUCUGGCACAACACAGCGACUUGCAAGUAGUGCAGCGUAUUAAAUAAAGUGAUGUGUGUCUUAAUGCGGCUUGAGAAAUGAACACAAAGGGAUUCUGUAUUUGCUCAUGAAGCCUGAACAUACUGGUUAUUUGGCCAAUGUUUUGAUAACCGGCCGCUGCCAGUUCAGUGUUUCCCAUCAUUAUAAACAGAGUGCGAACCCCCCCCCCCCGCCACCCAUGACGUAGUAAACCUGGGGGAGACACUGCAGUCUACCUCAUCAAUGGGAACAACGUGUGUGUGUGACUCGUGUCACUGGAAAUGGGUUGUGGUUUUAUCUGUUUAAGUCAGAUACAUUUGUUGUUUUGUUGUUGCGUCUCUGAAUAUCGCCAUGUUUCCACCAUCCCAACGGCAGGUCACGUGAUCUCCAGGCACCUUCUGAUCACAUUGUAAUGGACUGACGUGUGUGUGAGCGAGGUUACGCAUUAAGAAAUUGUCCUUAAUGGAAUUUCUUACAUUACUUUUACUUGUACAGUAUACUUUAAGUAGUUUUGAAACCAGUACUUUUAUACUUUUACUUAAGUAAAAAGCUUGAGUCGAUACUUCAACAGGAGUCUUGUUAAACCCUAGUAUCUGUACUUCUACUUGAGUAUCAGUAGGAGGGUUCGACAGAAGCUGGGAAUAUUAGUGGUCAACCACUCUGAGCCAGAGCUGCACACAUCUUAAGAAUUCAGAUUUUUAGAUUGAUGUAAACUUGUAUUCGUCAGAUUGUUUUGUUGUAGGCUUCAGAGAAGACAUCACUGCUGCUCAGACAAUGCUUUAACUCAGAGACAUAAGUAAGUAGUAAGUAAAUAACAUAAGUUGUCCCUUUCACACGGACAGGUAAGUUAAACUCAAAUACAGACUCAAUAUCACACACCUACCUUUCUUUGUGUUUUUGAUAGUUCUCUUCCUGAGUGAGCUACAUGGUGAUCCACCCUUCGCUGCCAUGGGGGGGUCUGUUAAGGAACACACGUUACCGUUCCUGUAGAACAGCUUUAUCUUCUUAAAUUAAACAAACAAACUAAGCCUUGUGUUAUUUUCCCUCCCCUCUCG